CCUACGGGGGGCAGCAGUGAGGAAUAUUGGUCAAUGGACGGAAGUCUGAACCAGCCAUGCCGCGUGCAGGAAGACGGCUCUAUGAGUUGUAAACUGCUUUUGUACAAGGGUAAACCUGAAUACGUGUAUUCAGCUGAAAGUACUGUACGAAUAAGGAUCGGCUAACUCCGUGCCAGCAGCCGCGGUAAUACGGAGGAUCCAAGCGUUAUCCGGAUUUAUUGGGUUUAAAGGGUGCGUAGGCGGUUUGAUAAGUUAGAGGGGAAAUGUCCGAGCUUAACUCGGGAACUGCCGCUAAUAAUGUUGAUCUAGAGAGUAGAUGCGGUAGGCGGAAUGUAUGGUGUAGCGGUGAAAUGCUUAGAGAUCAUACAGAACACCGAUUGCGAAGGCAGCUUACCAAUCUAUAUCUGACGUUGAGGCACGAAAGCGUGGGGAGCAAACAGGAUUAGAUACCCGGGUAGUC
Molecule: ribosomal RNA, 460 nt
Filed under: uncultured bacterium
Lineage: Bacteria
Description: partial 16S ribosomal RNA
Rfam family: Bacterial small subunit ribosomal RNA
Source: RNAcentral